GCUGCGCGAGGUUGUGGACAAGCAACUGCUCCUGGUUGCCGCCGAGGGCGGUUUCGCUGCGGCGAAGGCGCUGGUGUUCCACUGCCUAGAGCAGCCC
RNAcentral lists this transfer RNA (97 nucleotides) under Corynebacterium ihumii. Its description in RNAcentral is "tRNA-Gly". Lineage: Bacteria; Bacillati; Actinomycetota; Actinomycetes; Mycobacteriales; Corynebacteriaceae. The record is from RNAcentral.